This 66-nucleotide transfer RNA is filed under the name Dinobdella ferox. Its description in RNAcentral is "tRNA-Asn". The record is from RNAcentral. Lineage: Eukaryota; Metazoa; Annelida; Clitellata; Hirudinida; Hirudinidae.
UAAAUGAAAGCAAAUAAAUUGCAUUUAAUUGUUAAUUAAAAGUAAGAAAGUAACUUUCUCAUUUAG